GCCUGGCUGGCUCAGUAGAGCAUAUGACUCUUGAUCUCAGAGUUGUGAGUUUGAACCCCAUGUUGGGCA
RNAcentral lists this transfer RNA (69 nucleotides) under Canis lupus familiaris (dog). It matches the Rfam family "tRNA". From Rfam's summary of the family: Transfer RNA (tRNA) molecules are approximately 80 nucleotides in length. RNAcentral also lists the same sequence under 1 other name. Lineage: Eukaryota; Metazoa; Chordata; Mammalia; Carnivora; Canidae. The record is from Rfam by way of RNAcentral.